Long non-coding RNA from Camelina sativa (false flax), 202 nucleotides. RefSeq lists it as uncharacterized. The record is from RefSeq and is a predicted model, not a curated record. Lineage: Eukaryota; Viridiplantae; Streptophyta; Magnoliopsida; Brassicales; Brassicaceae.
UGACAUAUGCAUCCAAAUACUCUAAGGUGGUUGACAGAAGGUCUAUGGCCACUCCAAGUUUCAAGUGGGGUUUUCUGAUUCAAAGCCUUAGUGGGUAGUCUGUUUUGAAGCAACCCCAUUUUGUUGAGAUUCUUGAACUUCUUGAAAGCGGCAAAUGUCUCUGACUUUGACUUCAGGAAAUACACCCAUAGCAUGUGUGAGU